AGUGAACGCUGGCGGUAGGCCUAACACAUGCAAGUCGAACGGCAGCACAGUAAGAGCUUGCUCUUACGGGUGGCGAGUGGCGGACGGGUGAGGAAUACACCGGAAUCUACUUUUUCGUGGGUGAUAACGUAGGGAAACUUACGCUAAUACCGCAUACGACCUACGGGUGAGAGCAGGGGAUCUUCGGACCUUUCGCUAUUGAAUGAGCCGAUGUCGGAUUAGCUAGUUGGCGGGGUAAAGGCGCACCAAGGCGACGAUCCGUAGCUGGUCUGAGAGGAUGAUCAGCCACACUGGCACUGAGACACGGUCCAGACUCCUACGGGAGGCAGCAGUGGGGAAUAUUGGACAAUGGGCGCAAGCCUGAUACAGCCAUACCGCGUGGGUGAAGAAGGCCUUCGGGUUGUAAAGCCCUGUUGUUGGGAAAGAAAAGCAGCAGGUUAAUACCCCGCUGUUCUGACGGUACCCAAAGAAUAAGCACCGGCUAACUUCGUG
RNAcentral lists this ribosomal RNA (492 nucleotides) under uncultured bacterium. Its description in RNAcentral is "partial 16S ribosomal RNA". It matches the Rfam family "Bacterial small subunit ribosomal RNA", at positions 29 to 507 of the family's 1533-position model. The record is from RNAcentral.